CGGACUUUGAGGGGCACUUCAGUUUUCCCGCCGCCGUCAAGCCAGAAGGACCUAUCGUUUCGGGGAUUGUCUAACGUCAGGACAUUCACCAGGUCGGGGUUUUAAAGUGAGCGUGAUCUAGCUCUGGAUAGAUGACCUUGCAGUUAAGAUUCAUGGAAUCACCGUUGGUUCACUCAUUUGUCAAUUUGUUCUGUCCCUUCUCUUACAAUGUUUAAUUCCUGGUACAGACAUGAAUCUGGUACAAGUUAAGCAAUUCAGCAUCAUGAUUGGGGUGCCAGGUCUGUGUGGUCCAGACCUGGUAAACCAAUGGACCACCAUGUGUCGGACUGUUAUUGCUUGUAAAUCUUGUAUUGGGUGAUUGUUUGUGUCCAGGGUUAAAUACUUGUGAAAGAAUGUACAGAUCAAAUUGAGACAUGUCCGAGCCAUCCGUGAUGUCAUGCAUCUUCCUUGCUUGGAAGUUUAUUUGGAGUCGAGGUUGCGUAAACUUGAAGAAUCCCGGCUAUAGGACAGGACUGUCAGGCCCCACCAAACCUGAGGACCACCACCCGGACCGACCGACCGACGGACCCAGGAC
Pecten maximus is the source of this 574-nucleotide long non-coding RNA. RefSeq lists it as uncharacterized. The transcript is spliced from 3 exons. NCBI's taxonomy places the organism in Eukaryota, Metazoa, Mollusca, Bivalvia, Pectinida, Pectinidae. The record is from RefSeq and is a predicted model, not a curated record.